Molecule: long non-coding RNA, 733 nt
Organism: Humulus lupulus (European hop)
Lineage: Eukaryota; Viridiplantae; Streptophyta; Magnoliopsida; Rosales; Cannabaceae
Exons: 3
Source: RefSeq, a predicted model, not a curated record
GCAAAUGGACAGAGCAAAUUGAAGAAUGUAGCAUGUAUUUCCUCUUCCCAAGCCUACCUCUUAGUGAGAGAUCAAAUUGAAAAAUGAAAAUCUGAUGUUAUUGAGUAUCAGGCUUCGUAUGAGAAACUUCAGGCUGAGAAGGAUAUUCUUGUCUUAAAAGAAAGGGAACUCAGUGUUAAAAGUGAUGUCAUUGAUUUCCUUCGAAGAUCUGCUGCAAUUGAGAAUUCAAAGAUUUCAGAUCUUAGGAUAGAAAUACAGAAGCAGAACGAUGAGAGAAAGAUGAUUGAAACAAAGGUGGAAGAUGCUUCAAGAGAACCUGGAAGAAAAGAAAUCAUUGCAGAAUUUAAAGCCUUGGUGUCUUCCUUUCCUGUGGAAAUGGAAAACAUGCAAGACCAAUUGCGAAAACAUAAAGGAACUGCUUCAGAUGUUCAUUUUUUGAGGGCUGAUGUGCAAUCUCUUUCUAGCAUUCUUGACAGGAAGGUGAGCAUGUUUUUCAUGUGGUGAAAUUAUUGGAUGUUAUCAUUAGGCUUGUGAUGACUUUUGUGCAUCAGGUGAAAUAGUGUGAAACUCUAUUCGCUAGAUUCAUUGGUCAGGCUGCUGAGAUACAGAAAUUGCAAACCGUGGUAUGUAUUAUGUUUUCAGAUUUGUAUCUUUUAGAUGGUCACUAGGUGGAGACUGGCCAUCACUAUUAAUCUUUGGUUAAUUGUAUAAAUGUCAUGUCACAUUAAAUUUA